CCUACGGGAGGCAGCAGUGAGGAAUAUUGGGCAAUGGGCGAGAGCCUGAACGAGCCAAGUCGCGUGAAGGAUGAAGGAUCUAUGGGUUGUAAACUUCUUUUAUAUGGGAAUAAAGUGAGGAACGUGUUCCUUUUUGUAUGUACCAUAUGAAUAAGCAUCGGCUAACUCCGUGCCAGCAGCCGCGGUAAUACGGAGGAUGCGAGCGUUAUCCGGAUUUAUGGGGUUUAAAGGGUGCGUAGGUGGUUGAUUAAGUCAGCGGUGAAAGUUUGUGGCUCAACCAUAAAAUUGCCGUUGAAACUGGUUGACUUGAGGACAUGUGAGGUAAGCGGAAUUCCUGGUGUAGCGGUGAAAUGCGUAGAUAUCACGCAGAACUCCGAUUGCGAAGGCAGCUUACUAGACUAUAACUGACACUGAGGCACGAAAGCGUGGGGAUCAAACAGGAUUAGAUACCCUAGUAGUC
This 460-nucleotide ribosomal RNA is filed under the name uncultured bacterium. RNAcentral's name for it is "partial 16S ribosomal RNA". It matches the Rfam family "Bacterial small subunit ribosomal RNA", at positions 338 to 795 of the family's 1533-position model. The record is from RNAcentral.